This 1248-nucleotide ribosomal RNA is filed under the name Bacillus vallismortis. RNAcentral's name for it is "bacterial SSU rRNA". It matches the Rfam family "Bacterial small subunit ribosomal RNA", at positions 13 to 1257 of the family's 1533-position model. Lineage: Bacteria; Bacillati; Bacillota; Bacilli; Caryophanales; Bacillaceae. The record is from RNAcentral.
UUGAUCCUGGCUCAGGACGAACGCUGGCGGCGUGCCUAAUACAUGCAAGUCGAGCGGACAGAUGGGAGCUUGCUCCCUGAUGUUAGCGGCGGACGGGUGAGUAACACGUGGGUAACCUGCCUGUAAGACUGGGAUAACUCCGGGAAACCGGGGCUAAUACCGGAUGCUUGUUUGAACCGCAUGGUUCAAACAUAAAAGGUGGCUUCGGCUACCACUUACAGAUGGACCCGCGGCGCAUUAGCUAGUUGGUGAGGUAAUGGCUCAAAAGGCCAAGGCAACGAUGCGUAGCCGACCUGAGAGGGUGAUCGGCCACACUGGGACUGAGACACGGCCCAGACUCCUACGGGAGGCAGCAGUAGGGAAUCUUCCGCAAUGGACGAAAGUCUGACGGAGCAACGCCGCGUGAGUGAUGAAGGUUUUCGGAUCGUAAAGCUCUGUUGUUAGGGAAGAACAAGUGCCGUUCAAAUAGGGCGGCACCUUGACGGUACCUAACCAAGCCACGGCUAACUACGUGCCAGCAGCCGCGGUAAUACGUAGGUGGCAAGCGUUGUCCGGAAUUAUUGGGCGUGCUCGCAGGCGGUUUCUUAAGUCUGAUGUGAAAGCCCCCGGCUCAACCGGGGAGGGUCAUUGGAAACUGGGGAACUUGAGUGCAGAAGAGGAGAGUGGAAUUCCACGUGUAGGUCUUGACAGCGGUGAAAUGCGUAGAGAUGUGGACCAGUGGCGAAGGCGACUCUCUGGUCUGUAACUGACGCUGAGGAGCGAAAGCGUGGGGAGCGAAUGGACAGGAUUAGAUACCCUGGCACGCCGUAAACGAUGAGUGCUAAGUGUUAGGGGGUUUCCGCCUGCAGCUAACGCAUUAAGCACUCCGCCUGGGGAGUACGGUCGCAAGACUGAAACUCAAAGGAAUUGACGGGGGCCCGCACAGGAACAAGCGGUGGAGCAUGUGGUUUAAUUCGAAGCAACGCGAAGAACCUUACCAUCCUCUGACAAUCCUAGAGAUAGGACGUCCCCUUCGGGGGCAGAGUGACAGGUGGUGCAUGGUUGUCGUCAGCUCGUGUCGUGAGAUGUUGGGUUAAGUCCCGCAACGAGCGCAACCCUUGAUCUUAGUUGCCAGCAUUCAGUUGGGCACUCUAAGGUGACUGCCGGUGACAAACCGGAGGAAGGUGGGGAUGACGUCAAAUCAUCAUGCCCCUUAUGACCUGGGCUACACACGUGCUACAAUGGACAGAACAAAGGGCAGCGAAACCG